Molecule: ribosomal RNA, 490 nt
Filed under: uncultured bacterium
Lineage: Bacteria
Description: partial 16S ribosomal RNA
Rfam family: Bacterial small subunit ribosomal RNA
Source: RNAcentral
AGUGAACGCUGGCGGCAGGCCUAACACAUGCAAGUCGAACGGCAGCACAAGAGAGCUUGCUCUCUGGGUGGCGAGUGGCGGACGGGUGAGGAAUGCAUCGGAAUCUGCCCAUUUGUGGGGGAUAACCUCGGGAAACCGGGACUAAUACCGCAUACGACCUACGGGUGAAAGCAGGGGAUCUUCGGACCUUGCGCAGAUGGAUGAGCCGAUGCCGGAUUAGCUAGUUGGAGGGGUAAAGGCCCACCAAGGCGACGAUCCGUAGCUGGUCUGAGAGGAUGAUCAGCCACACUGGGACUGAGACACGGCCCAGACUCCUACGGGAGGCAGCAGUGGGGAAUAUUGGACAAUGGGCGCAAGCCUGAUCCAGCCAUGCCGCGUGUGUGAAGAAGGCCUUCGGGUUGUAAAGCACUUUUGUUGGGAAAGAAAAGCAGCCGGUUAAUACCCGGUUGUCAUGACGGUACCCAAAGAAUAAGCACCGGCUAACUACGUG